Molecule: ribosomal RNA, 467 nt
Filed under: uncultured bacterium
Lineage: Bacteria
Description: partial 16S ribosomal RNA
Rfam family: Bacterial small subunit ribosomal RNA
Source: RNAcentral
GAUGAACGCUGGCGGCGUGCUUAACACAUGCAAGUCGAACGGAAAGGCCCAAGCUUGCUUGGGUACUCGAGUGGCGAACGGGUGAGUAACACGUGGGUGAUCUGCCCUGCACUUCGGGAUAAGCCUGGGAAACUGGGUCUAAUACCGGAUAGGACCACUUCUUGGAUGUUGUGGUGGAAAGUUUUUUCGGUGUGGGAUGAGCUCGCGGCCUAUCAGCUUGUUGGUGGGGUAAUGGCCUACCAAGGCGUCGACGGGUAGCCGGCCUGUGAGGGUGUACGGCCACAUUGGGACUGAGAUACGGCCCAGACACCGACGGGAGGCAGCAGUGGGGAAUAUUGCACAAGGGGCGCAAGCCUGAUGCAGCGACGCCGCGUGGGGGAUGACGGCCUUCGGGUUGUAAACUCCUUUCGCUAGGGACGAAGCGUUUUGUGACGGUACCUGGAGAAGAAGCACCGGCUAACUACGUG